UCUGCUGUGAAUCCCGAGGCUCAACCUCGGGCCUGCAGUGGUACGGGCAGACUAGAGUGCGGUAGGGGAGAUUGGAAUUCCUGGUGUAGCGGUGGAAUGCGCAGAUAUCAGGAGGAACACCGAUGGCGAAGGCAGAUCUCUGGGCCGUAACUGACGCUGAGGAGCGAAAGGGUGGGGAGCAAACAGGCUUAGAUACCCUGGUAGUCCACCCCGUAAACGUUGGGAACUAGUUGUGGGGUCCAUUCCACGGAUUCCGUGACGCAGCUAACGCAUUAAGUUCCCCGCCUGGGGAGUACGGCCGCAAGGCUAAAACUCAAAGGAAUUGACGGGGACCCGCACAAGCGGCGGAGCAUGCGGAUUAAUUCGAUGCAACGCGAAGAACCUUACCAAGGCUUGACAUAUACGAGAACGGGCCAGAAAUGGUCAACUCUUUGGACACUCGUAAACAGGUGGUGCAUGGUUGUCGUCAGCUCGUGUCGUGAGAUGUUGGGUUAAGUCCCGCAACGAGCGCAACCCUCGUUCUACGUUGCCAGCACGUAAUGGUGGGAACUCAUGGGAUACUGCCGGGGUCAACUCGGAGGAAGGUGGGGAUGACGUCAAAUCAUCAUGCCCCUUAUGUCUUGGGCUUCACGCAUGCUACAAUGGCCGGUACAAAGGGCUGCAAUACCGUGAGGUGGAGCGAAUCCCAAAAAGCCGGUCCCAGUUCGGAUUGAGGUCUGCAACUCGACCUCAUGAA
RNAcentral lists this ribosomal RNA (736 nucleotides) under Microbacterium sp. 10.10.2-B1. RNAcentral's name for it is "bacterial SSU rRNA". It matches the Rfam family "Bacterial small subunit ribosomal RNA", at positions 588 to 1324 of the family's 1533-position model. The record is from RNAcentral. Lineage: Bacteria; Bacillati; Actinomycetota; Actinomycetes; Micrococcales; Microbacteriaceae.